Molecule: long non-coding RNA, 561 nt
Organism: Spea bombifrons (plains spadefoot toad)
Lineage: Eukaryota; Metazoa; Chordata; Amphibia; Anura; Pelobatidae
Exons: 2
Source: RefSeq, a predicted model, not a curated record
CCAAGGCUUCAUCGGUUGGUUGCCGCAUGGAAGAUAUCAUUAAGGCCGCUGACUGUUCUUCGGAUACCACAUUUAAAGAAUUUUAUCUCCAUUCUAUUCAUCAUUUCUCCGAACGCCUGGUAGAUCAGCUUUAAAAUUGCAUAAUAGGAGCCUUUAAUAAAAUGUCCAAGAGUUUACUAUUACAUGACGUAAAGUCAUGAUUUUAUUAAUGACACGGAGGCGAGUAUUAUUCCCACCCAUUCUUUCCCUCCCUGGGCGAGAGAAAUGAUUGUGGUCUGGUCUCAGCUUGCUCUGCUAUGGAUGUUUCGUUGGAGUUCUACAUGAGGCCUUGCUUCGGUUUCCUGUUUGGUUUCUUCUGGUUCGGUUUCGUUGGAUCCGCAAAGAAAGAGGAAGUUCCUUAGGAUUGCAUUCCCCCUGAGGAUGAUGAGGACUGCUGAUUGGUUGGGCUAUCGCUGGGCAGUGUUAUGGUUGUUACUAUUUCAUUUGUUUUAACUCUUUCAGUCAAGUUUUUUCCCUCAAUUCUUUGCUGCUGAGGGAGUAAUAAAGAAAGAGAAUGCAUAA